RNAcentral lists this ribosomal RNA (253 nucleotides) under uncultured bacterium. RNAcentral's name for it is "partial 16S ribosomal RNA". It matches the Rfam family "Bacterial small subunit ribosomal RNA", at positions 524 to 776 of the family's 1533-position model. The record is from RNAcentral.
UACAGACGGUCCAAACGUUAUUCGGAAUCACUGGGCUUAAAGAGUUCGUAGGCGGGCCUUUAAGUCAGUGGUGAAAUCUCCCCGCUCAACGGGGAAACUGCCAUUGAUACUAUUGGUCUUGAAUUUAGUUGAGGUGGGCGGAAUGUGUCGUGUAGCGGUGAAAUGCUUAGAUAUGACACAGAACACCGAUUGCGAAGGCAGCUCGCUAAACUAAUAUUGACGCUGAGGCACGAAAGCGUGGGGAUCAAACAGG